AUUGAACGCUGGCGGCAUGCCUAACACAUGCAAGUCGAACGGCAGCACAGCAUGUAGCAAUACAUGUGGGUGGCGAGUGGCGGACGGGUGAGUAACGCGUGGGAAUCUGCCCUAUAGUGGGGGACAACCCGACGAAAGUCGGGCUAAUACCGCAUACGCCUACGGGGAAAGGCUUCGGCCGCUAUUGGAUGAGCCCGCGUCGGAUUAGCUAGUUGGUGAGGUAAUGGCUCACCAAGGCGACGAUCCGUAGCUGGUCUGAGAGGACGAUCAGCCACACUGGGACUGAGACACGGCCCAGACUCCUACGGGAGGCAGCAGUGGGGAAUAUUGCACAAUGGGCGAAAGCCUGAUGCAGCAAUGCCGCGUGUGUGAAGAAGGCCUGCGGGUUGUAAAGCACUUUCGGUAGGGAAGAUUAUGACGGUACCUACAGAAGAAGCACCGGCUAACUCCGUGCCCAGCAGCCGCGGU
RNAcentral lists this ribosomal RNA (468 nucleotides) under uncultured bacterium. RNAcentral describes it as "bacterial SSU rRNA". It matches the Rfam family "Bacterial small subunit ribosomal RNA", at positions 29 to 521 of the family's 1533-position model. The record is from RNAcentral.